RNAcentral lists this ribosomal RNA (253 nucleotides) under uncultured bacterium. Its description in RNAcentral is "partial 16S ribosomal RNA". It matches the Rfam family "Bacterial small subunit ribosomal RNA", at positions 524 to 776 of the family's 1533-position model. The record is from RNAcentral.
UACGUAGGGGGCAAGCGUUAUCCGGAUUUACUGGGUGUAAAGGGAGCGUAGACGGCAAUGCAAGUCUGGAGUGAAAGGCGGGGGCCCAACCCCCGGACUGCUCUGGAAACUGUAUAGCUGGAGUGCAGGAGAGGUAAGUGGAAUUCCUAGUGUAGCGGUGAAAUGCGUAGAUAUUAGGAGGAACACCAGUGGCGAAGGCGGCUUACUGAACUGUAACUGACGUUGAGGCUCGAAAGCGUGGGGAGCAAACAGG